AGAGAAUAGAUACCCGGGUAGUCCACGCCGUAAACGAUGAUGACUAGCUGUCUGGGCGCUUAGCGUUCAGGUGGCGCAGCUAACGCGUUAAGUCAUCCGCCUGGGGAGUACGGCCGCAAGGUUAAAACUCAAAGAAAUUGACGGGGGCCUGCACAAGCGGUGGAGCAUAGUGGUUAAUUCGAAGCAACGCGCAGAACCUUACCAGCGUUUGACAUGGUAGGACGGUUUCUAGAGAUGGAUUCGUUCCCUUACGGGACCGUACACACAGGUGCUGCAUGGCUGUCGUCAGCUCGUGUCGUGACGAUAGUUGGGUUAAGUCCCG
This 322-nucleotide ribosomal RNA is filed under the name uncultured bacterium. RNAcentral describes it as "bacterial SSU rRNA". It matches the Rfam family "Bacterial small subunit ribosomal RNA", at positions 774 to 1089 of the family's 1533-position model. The record is from RNAcentral.